This 465-nucleotide ribosomal RNA is filed under the name Vreelandella stevensii. Its description in RNAcentral is "partial 16S ribosomal RNA". It matches the Rfam family "Bacterial small subunit ribosomal RNA", at positions 338 to 795 of the family's 1533-position model. Lineage: Bacteria; Pseudomonadati; Pseudomonadota; Gammaproteobacteria; Oceanospirillales; Halomonadaceae. The record is from RNAcentral.
CCUACGGGGGGCAGCAGUGGGGAAUAUUGGACAAUGGGGGGAACCCUGAUCCAGCCAUGCCGCGUGUGUGAAGAAGGCCCUCGGGUUGUAAAGCACUUUCAGUGAGGAAGAACGCCUGGUGGUUAAUACCCAUCAGGAAAGACAUCACACACAGAAGAAGCACCGGCUAACUCCGUGCCAGCAGCCGCGGUAAUACGGAGGGUGCGAGCGUUAAUCGGAAUUACUGGGCGUAAAGCGCGCGUAGGUGGCUUGAUAAGCCGGUUGUGAAAACCCCGGGCUCAACCUGGGAACGGCAUCCGGAACUGUCAAGCUAGAGUGCAGGAGAGGAAGGUAGAAUUCCCGGUGUAGCGGUGAAAUGCGUAGAGAUCGGGAGGAAUACCAGUGGCGAAGGCGGCCUUCUGGACUGACACUGACACUGAGGUGCGAAAGCGUGGGUAGCAAACAGGAUUAGAUACCCUAGUAGUC